GGACUGGAUCUGCCUCGGAUGACGCUGGCGGCGUGCUUAACACAUGCAAGUCGAGCGAUGAAGUUUCCUUCGGGAAACGGAUUAGCGGCGGACGGGUGAGUAACACGUGGGUAACCUGCCUCAUAGAGUGGAAUAGCCUUCCGAAAGGAAGAUUAAUACCGCAUAAUGUUGAAAGAUGGCAUCAUCAUUCAACCAAAGGAGCAAUCCGCUAUGAGAUGGACCCGCGGCGCAUUAGCUAGUUGGUGGGGUAACGGCCUACCAAGGCGACGAUGCGUAGCCGACCUGAGAGGGUGAUCGGCCACAUUGGGACUGAGACACGGCCCAGACUCCUACGGGAGGCAGCAGUGGGGAAUAUUGCACAAUGGGGGAAACCCUGAUGCAGCAACGCCGCGUGAGUGAUGAAGGUUUUCGGAUCGUAAAGCUCUGUCUUUGGGGAAGAUAAUGACGGUACCCAAGGAGGAAGCCACGGCUAACUACGUGCCAGCCGCCGCGGUAAU
This 497-nucleotide ribosomal RNA is filed under the name Clostridium perfringens. RNAcentral describes it as "bacterial SSU rRNA". It matches the Rfam family "Bacterial small subunit ribosomal RNA", at positions 10 to 524 of the family's 1533-position model. Lineage: Bacteria; Bacillati; Bacillota; Clostridia; Eubacteriales; Clostridiaceae. The record is from RNAcentral.